UAUCAUGCACGGUGCAAUAGUAGUCAGGCCAAUGACAGAGAGAUUCCAAAUGCUGAGAGGGAUCGCGGCUAAGCGAAAUGGAGCGGUGCCGACAACUGAAUCAAAAUCAUUUAAGUGAGGGGCUUUCCCCUAAAUUAGGUGGCACCGCGGCAAAGAUCGUCCUAUUC
RNAcentral lists this unclassified non-coding RNA (167 nucleotides) under Limosilactobacillus mucosae. RNAcentral describes it as "Lactobacillus mucosae T-box". The record is from RNAcentral. Lineage: Bacteria; Bacillati; Bacillota; Bacilli; Lactobacillales; Lactobacillaceae.